UUAAAUAAAAAGUAACAUACAUUCAAAUUAUUCAAUCACCAGAAUUAAGUGAAAUUCUACGAUAAGUUCGUGCAAUCAAAGUCGAAAACUCAUUUUGUUUGGUAGUCAGUCAGUCAGUCAGUCAGUCCUCCUUCAUUGCUCCUCUUCUACGACCAAACAGCUUUUCAAUCACCAAUAAGUAAUAACAAACGUCAAAACUCCUUCCCAUAUUGAAGUAAGAAUUCAAUUCUUUAAGAUGUUUAAUCCUGCUAUACAUUCCAAAAUUAUAUUUCUUUCCAAAGCAUUACAAGUCAAAAAAAAAAAAAAAAAAAAAAAAAAAAGCCAUUCUUAAAAAAAAAAGAAAAAAAAAGAAAGCCAUUCAUCACAAAACUAAUGAAAUAUUAUUCUAUCUUAGAAAAUAUUGCGAAUUCUAUUUGUACCGCACCACUAAUUUAAACAUAGCAACCAUGUUACAGAAGCAGGCUAUAGAACUGCUAGCUAUGCAUUCUAAUCCCAAGAAACUAAAGAAAAUUACUAAAUAACCAGAUUAUAGAGUAAAUAAUGGACUGGAGAAUACAUCUUCAGUUGCGAUCUCAAAAUCUCACUUUUAUUUUUCUCCUUGGUUAUGAAGUAUGCCUCCUUUUGCUCUUUCUACCAUGUUACAAUGGAGGAAAAGUAUCCUUUUCAUUCGCUUUCAUCGCCACUCUCCUCCAAGUAUAAGUGGUUCAUAUUUUU
This 714-nucleotide long non-coding RNA is filed under the name Olea europaea (common olive). RNAcentral's name for it is "long non-coding RNA (OEUR_LNC012437)". Lineage: Eukaryota; Viridiplantae; Streptophyta; Magnoliopsida; Lamiales; Oleaceae. The record is from RNAcentral.